MicroRNA precursor from Monodelphis domestica (gray short-tailed opossum), 87 nucleotides. The record is from Ensembl. Lineage: Eukaryota; Metazoa; Chordata; Mammalia; Didelphimorphia; Didelphidae.
GUGGGGGCGCUGAGACUGAAGACCGAGUGAGGUGAGGCCUAGCCAGGGCUGGGACACCCUGAGUCCUGUGUCUCCUCACCCCCAGGC